Molecule: ribosomal RNA, 460 nt
Filed under: uncultured bacterium
Lineage: Bacteria
Description: partial 16S ribosomal RNA
Rfam family: Bacterial small subunit ribosomal RNA
Source: RNAcentral
CCUACGGGGGACUGCAGUGAGGAAUAUUGGUCAAUGGACGAGAGUCUGAACCAGCCAAGUAGCGUGAAGGAUGACUGCCCUAUGGGUUGUAAACUUCUUUUAUAUGGGAAUAAAAUGUUCCACGUGUGGGAUUUUGUAUGUACCAUCUGAAUAAGGAUCGGCUAACUCCGUGCCAGCAGCCGCGGUAAUACGGAGGAUCCGAGCGUUAUCCGGAUUUAUUGGGUGUAAAGGGAGCGUAGGUGGAUUGUUAAGUCAGUUGUGAAAGUUUGCGGCUCAACCGUAAAAUUGCAGUUGAAACUGGCAGUCUUGAGUACAGUAGAGGUGGGCGGAAUUCGUGGUGUAGCGGUGAAAUGCUUAGAUAUCACGAAGAACUCCGAUUGCGAAGGCAGUUCACUGGACUGCAACUGACACUGAGGCUCGAAAGUGUGGGUAUCAAACAGGAUUAGAUACCCUUGUAGUC